UAUUUCUUAAUCCGGAGAAUUUGAGGUAG
This 29-nucleotide non-coding RNA is filed under the name Rattus norvegicus (Norway rat). The record is from RNAcentral. Lineage: Eukaryota; Metazoa; Chordata; Mammalia; Rodentia; Muridae.